Molecule: ribosomal RNA, 466 nt
Filed under: uncultured bacterium
Lineage: Bacteria
Description: partial 16S ribosomal RNA
Rfam family: Bacterial small subunit ribosomal RNA
Source: RNAcentral
GAUGAACGCUGGCGGCGUGCUUAACACAUGCAAGUCGAACGGAAAGGCCCAAGCUUGCUUGGGUACUCGAGUGGCGAACGGGUGAGUAACACGUGGGUGAUCUGCCCUGCACUUCGGGAUAAGCCUGGGAAACUGGGUCUAAUACCGGAUAGGACCACAUUUUGGAUGGUGUGGUGGAAAGUUUUUCGGUGUGGGAUGAGCUCGCGGCCUAUCAGCUUGUUGGUGGGGUAAUGGCCUACCAAGGCGUCGACGGGUAGCCGGCCUGAGAGGGUGUACGGCCACAUUGGGACUGAGAUACGGCCCAGACUCCUACGGGAGGCAGCAGUGGGGAAUAUUGCACAAUGGGCGCAAGCCUGAUGCAGAGACGCCGCGUGGGGGAUGACGGCCUUCGGGUUGUAAACUCCUUUCGCUAGGGACGAAGCGUUAUGUGACGGUACCUGGAGAAGAAGCACCGGCUAACUACGUG